This 2986-nucleotide ribosomal RNA is filed under the name Salmonella enterica subsp. enterica serovar Senftenberg. Its description in RNAcentral is "23S ribosomal RNA". It matches the Rfam family "Bacterial large subunit ribosomal RNA". Lineage: Bacteria; Pseudomonadati; Pseudomonadota; Gammaproteobacteria; Enterobacterales; Enterobacteriaceae. The record is from RNAcentral.
UUAAGCGACUAAGCGUACACGGUGGAUGCCCUGGCAGUCAGAGGCGAUGAAGGACGUGCUAAUCUGCGAUAAGCGCCGGUAAGGUGAUAUGAACCGUUAUAACCGGCGAUUUCCGAAUGGGGAAACCCAGUGUGAUUCGUCACACUAUCAUUAACUGAAUCCAUAGGUUAAUGAGGCGAACCGGGGGAACUGAAACAUCUAAGUACCCCGAGGAAAAGAAAUCAACCGAGAUUCCCCCAGUAGCGGCGAGCGAACGGGGAGGAGCCCAGAGCCUGAAUCAGCAUGUGUGUUAGUGGAAGCGUCUGGAAAGGCGCGCGAUACAGGGUGACAGCCCCGUACACAAAAGCGCAUGUGCUGUGAGCUCGAUGAGUAGGGCGGGACACGUGGUAUCCUGUCUGAAUAUGGGGGGACCAUCCUCCAAGGCUAAAUACUCCUGACUGACCGAUAGUGAACCAGUACCGUGAGGGAAAGGCGAAAAGAACCCCGGCGAGGGGAGUGAAAAAGAACCUGAAACCGUGUACGUACAAGCAGUGGGAGCACAGGUUUACCUGUGUGACUGCGUACCUUUUGUAUAAUGGGUCAGCGACUUAUAUUCUGUAGCAAGGUUAACCGUAUAGGGGAGCCGUAGGGAAACCGAGUCUUAACCGGGCGUUAAGUUGCAGGGUAUAGACCCGAAACCCGGUGAUCUAGCCAUGGGCAGGUUGAAGGUUGGGUAACACUAACUGGAGGACCGAACCGACUAAUGUUGAAAAAUUAGCGGAUGACCUGUGGCUGGGGGUGAAAGGCCAAUCAAACCGGGAGAUAGCUGGUUCUCCCCGAAAGCUAUUUAGGUAGCGCCUCGUGAAUUCAUCUCCGGGGGUAGAGCACUGUUUCGGCUAGGGGGCCAUCCCGGCUUACCAACCCGAUGCAAACUGCGAAUACCGGAGAAUGUUAUCACGGGAGACACACGGCGGGUGCUAACGUCCGUCGUGAAGAGGGAAACAACCCAGACCGCCAGCUAAGGUCCCAAAGUCAUGGUUAAGUGGGAAACGAUGUGGGAAGGCCCAGACAGCCAGGAUGUUGGCUUAGAAGCAGCCAUCAUUUAAAGAAAGCGUAAUAGCUCACUGGUCGAGUCGGCCUGCGCGGAAGAUGUAACGGGGCUAAACCAUGCACCGAAGCUGCGGCAGCGAACGUAUCACUUAAAGCGAUUCAGCGGGUUACGAUUGACGGAGCGAAGCGACGUCAAAGCGUAUACAAAGUCGAGUCGGUUUAAGGAUACGUUCGUUGGGUAGGGGAGCGUUCUGUAAGCCUGCGAAGGUGGCCUGUGAGGGUUGCUGGAGGUAUCAGAAGUGCGAAUGCUGACAUAAGUAACGAUAAAGCGGGUGAAAAGCCCGCUCGCCGGAAGACCAAGGGUUCCUGUCCAACGUUAAUCGGGGCAGGGUGAGUCGACCCCUAAGGCGAGGCCGAAAGGCGUAGUCGAUGGGAAACGGGUUAAUAUUCCCGUACUUGGUGUUACUGCGAAGGGGGGACGGAGAAGGCUAUGUUGGCCGGGCGACGGUUGUCCCGGUUUAAGCGUGUAGGUGUGUGUUCCAGGUAAAUCCGGUUCACUUUAACACUGAGGCGUGAUGACGAGGCACUACGGUGCUGAAGCAACAAAUGCCCUGCUUCCAGGAAAAGCCUCUAAGCAUCAGGUAACAUCAAAUCGUACCCCAAACCGACACAGGUGGUCAGGUAGAGAAUACCAAGGCGCUUGAGAGAACUCGGGUGAAGGAACUAGGCAAAAUGGUGCCGUAACUUCGGGAGAAGGCACGCUGACACGUAGGUGAAGUGAUUUACUCAUGGAGCUGAAGUCAGUCGAAGAUACCAGCUGGCUGCAACUGUUUAUUAAAAACACAGCACUGUGCAAACACGAAAGUGGACGUAUACGGUGUGACGCCUGCCCGGUGCCGGAAGGUUAAUUGAUGGGGUCAGCGCAAGCGAAGCUCCUGAUCGAAGCCCCGGUAAACGGCGGCCGUAACUAUAACGGUCCUAAGGUAGCGAAAUUCCUUGUCGGGUAAGUUCCGACCUGCACGAAUGGCGUAAUGAUGGCCAGGCUGUCUCCACCCGAGACUCAGUGAAAUUGAACUCGCUGUGAAGAUGCAGUGUACCCGCGGCAAGACGGAAAGACCCCGUGAACCUUUACUAUAGCUUGACACUGAACAUUGAGCCUUGAUGUGUAGGAUAGGUGGGAGGCUUUGAAGUGUGGACGCCAGUCUGCAUGGAGCCGACCUUGAAAUACCACCCUUUAAUGUUUGAUGUUCUAACGUGGACCCGUUACCCGGGUUGCGGACAGUGUCUGGUGGGUAGUUUGACUGGGGCGGUCUCCUCCUAAAGAGUAACGGAGGAGCACGAAGGUUGGCUAAUCCUGGUCGGACAUCAGGAGGUUAGUGCAAUGGCAUAAGCCAGCUUGACUGCGAGCGUGACGGCGCGAGCAGGUGCGAAAGCAGGUCAUAGUGAUCCGGUGGUUCUGAAUGGAAGGGCCAUCGCUCAACGGAUAAAAGGUACUCCGGGGAUAACAGGCUGAUACCGCCCAAGAGUUCAUAUCGACGGCGGUGUUUGGCACCUCGAUGUCGGCUCAUCACAUCCUGGGGCUGAAGUAGGUCCCAAGGGUAUGGCUGUUCGCCAUUUAAAGUGGUACGCGAGCUGGGUUUAGAACGUCGUGAGACAGUUCGGUCCCUAUCUGCCGUGGGCGCUGGAGAACUGAGGGGGGCUGCUCCUAGUACGAGAGGACCGGAGUGGACGCAUCACUGGUGUUCGGGUUGUCAUGCCAAUGGCACUGCCCGGUAGCUAAAUGCGGAAGAGAUAAGUGCUGAAAGCAUCUAAGCACGAAACUUGCCCCGAGAUGAGUUCUCCCUGAGACUUUAGGUCUCCUGAAGGAACGUUGAAGACGACGACGUUGAUAGGCCGGGUGUGUAAGCGCAGCGAUGCGUUGAGCUAACCGGUACUAAUGAACCGUGAGGCUUAACCU